AUAAAAGCGAUGAAGGUGAGGGGUAUGUGCGUAGGCUUAAGAGAGCCGGUGGUUGGUGCAAACCGGUGCCGAGGCGCAUAUUAGAUCGCUCUGGAGCUGUAUAGCUGAACGGCGGUAAGCUUAUUAGGCUAUACCGGGAUUACCCGUUACAGGUCAAGUUGUAUAACUUGGUGAGGCUAUUGCCGUGAGGUAAUAGCGAAAACAGGUGGUACCGCGUGGAGGAAAUCCCCGCCCUGUGC
This is a non-coding RNA of 239 nucleotides. It matches the Rfam family "T-box leader". Rfam says of the family: Uncharged tRNA acts as the effector for transcription antitermination of genes in the T-box leader family.